GGUUGAAGUGAUGAUAAUCUUCCACAUAAAAUUAUAUUUAGUGUUGACUGAAUUACAAACUAUAAUUAUCUGAUCAACU
This 79-nucleotide small nucleolar RNA is filed under the name Triticum urartu. RNAcentral's name for it is "Small nucleolar RNA Z155". It matches the Rfam family "Small nucleolar RNA Z155". From Rfam's summary of the family: Z155 is a member of the C/D class of snoRNA which contain the C (UGAUGA) and D (CUGA) box motifs. Most of the members of the box C/D family function in directing site-specific 2'-O-methylation of substrate RNAs. The record is from Rfam by way of RNAcentral. Lineage: Eukaryota; Viridiplantae; Streptophyta; Magnoliopsida; Poales; Poaceae.